This 895-nucleotide long non-coding RNA is filed under the name Brassica napus (rape). RNAcentral describes it as "long non-coding RNA (BNAP_LNC021866)". Lineage: Eukaryota; Viridiplantae; Streptophyta; Magnoliopsida; Brassicales; Brassicaceae. The record is from RNAcentral.
CUAAGGUCUUAGGCCAUAUAGGCCGGACUACUGGUACUAUUGGUUAGUCUUGUUGAGUCAAGAGUCUAGUUAGGAUCUUGAACUUUAUCUUUAGGUUAGGUUCUAGAUUGAGUUUGUGUUGUGUGAGUGUGCCGACAGUAUGUGUGUAACCCGCCCAUACUAGGCUUGUUUAGGGGUGAUUAGUGUUUCCUCGGCCUCGUACCCAGCGGGUUCAAGGAAACCCCUUAUUCGCUGGAUCAGGAAGACUCAGACGAACGGGGUCAUGUCCUAUGGCUGAGUAUUACACGACGGUGUAAUGAGGCAGUGACCCGAAGGACUGUGGGCUGUCGCGCGGUGACCCGAAGGACUGUGGGCUGCGGUCGGUUGAAAGUUCUUUCUUCUGGCCUUUGUGGUAGGGAGAUAGGAUAUUGCCGAUAGAGAGGAGGAACACGAAGUCACCAGGGCCCAGGUUAGAGUGUUGUGUUAGUGUGUCGUAGAGGGUUAUGGAACCCUCGAGUUAAUGUAGCAUCGAUAUACGGUGUUAUGAAUUAGAUCGAGUCUUGGUAGUUACUAUCUUAUUAUUAUUGUGAUUGUGGUUGAUUGAUUUGCUUGCAGGUUUCUGACAGUAAGUCUUAAUUCUGGCUCAGGUACCGGAUUAGGGUUGGUGUGUAUUUCGUUAGUGUAGGCCUGACGUUGGCAUUUAUGUGUUUGAGUGAUUGCUUGUGAAGGGUGGUGGAUAUUAAAGCUAUGUGGUAUCAUUGGUUGGCUGAUCAUGUUCUUGUCUGAUUGUUGGUCGACCGGUUAAUGAUACUUGUAUGGUCUAAGGGUCUAACACUACAUGAGUACUGAACUCAAGCGUAUAUAUGGUUAACCAGAGAUUGGUUGUUGACUUGUUUUAGUGCAGGUUCCCGUUACU